GGGUAACCGGUUAUCCAGUUUUUUUUUUAUAAUUUUUUGUUUUAUUUUUAUAAUUUUUUUUUUAAAUAAUGAAUGUAUGCAUGUGCAGUAGGGUCAUGGAUCAGAUGAAAAUUGUAUCGGGGUAUGGUGAAUUUUGGGGUAUGACAGAUGCCCAUAUUUAAUCUUCUCGAACCUGAAUGUUUAGAUAGCAACGGCUUCCACACAUCCAGGGUAAGAGAGGAUUAACUACAUAAAAAUAUCCAAAAAUUCACCCUACUGGGAAUGAAAUGAAUGUGAUAUGAAGUGAUGGGUAUUUGUGAAGGUUGUUCAUGGGCUGGAAAAUAAACUUGAUACGAAAUCAUCUGUUGAGGAUAGUUUAU
RNAcentral lists this long non-coding RNA (359 nucleotides) under Lathyrus oleraceus (garden pea). Its description in RNAcentral is "Pisum sativum (pea) long non-coding RNA (PSAT_LNC036540)". Lineage: Eukaryota; Viridiplantae; Streptophyta; Magnoliopsida; Fabales; Fabaceae. The record is from RNAcentral.